GAUCAUGGCUCAGAUUGAACGCUGGCGGCAGGCCUAACACAUGCAAGUCGAGCGGGGUUUUCGGACCUAGCGGCGGACGGGUGAGUAAUGCGUAGGAAGCUACCCGACAGAGGGGGAUACCAGUUGGAAACGACUGUUAAUACCGCAUAAUGUCUACGGACCAAAGUGUGGGACCUUCGGGCCACAUGCUGUCGGAUGCGCCUACGUGGGAUUAGCUAGUUGGUGGGGUAAUGGCUCACCAAGGCGACGAUCCCUAGCUGGUUUGAGAGGAUGAUCAGCCACACUGGAACUGAGACACGGUCCAGACUCCUACGGGAGGCAGCAGUGGGGAAUAUUGGACAAUGGGCGCAAGCCUGAUCCAGCCAUGCCGCGUGUGUGAAGAAGGCCUUCGGGUUGUAAAGCACUUUCAGCGAGGAGGAAGGGUUGUGUGUUAAUAGCGCAUAGCUUUGACGUUACUCGCAGAAGAAGCACCGGCUAACUCUGUG
RNAcentral lists this ribosomal RNA (485 nucleotides) under uncultured bacterium. RNAcentral's name for it is "bacterial SSU rRNA". It matches the Rfam family "Bacterial small subunit ribosomal RNA", at positions 15 to 507 of the family's 1533-position model. The record is from RNAcentral.